AGGCUUGACAUAUCCAAAAAAUUUGCUAAAAUGUACAAAUCUUUGGACACUCCUCUGAGGUGGUGCAUGGUGGCUGUCGCUCCUCGUGUGAGAUGUUGGGUUAAGUCCCGCAACGAGCGCAACCCUCCUUCUAUGUUGUUGCCCGUAAUGGUGGGAACUCAUGGGAUACUGCUGGGGGCGAUCACAGGAAGGUGGGGAUGAUGACAAAUCAUCAUGCCGCUUAUUACUUGGGCUUCUACCAUGCUGCAAUGGUGGGUUAUAAGGGCUGAAAUAAACUGAGGAGAACCAAAUCACCUCAAGCCGGACCCAGUACGCAUUAACGUAUGCUGCUCCUCCUCUUCAAGACGGAGUAAUUAGUAAUCAUCGAUCAUCAAAAUGGUACGGAAAACAUUCCCGCAUGG
RNAcentral lists this ribosomal RNA (401 nucleotides) under uncultured Actinomycetales bacterium. RNAcentral describes it as "bacterial SSU rRNA". It matches the Rfam family "Bacterial small subunit ribosomal RNA", at positions 977 to 1376 of the family's 1533-position model. The record is from RNAcentral. Lineage: Bacteria; Bacillati; Actinomycetota; Actinomycetes; Actinomycetales.